Molecule: ribosomal RNA, 246 nt
Filed under: uncultured bacterium
Lineage: Bacteria
Description: partial 16S ribosomal RNA
Rfam family: Bacterial small subunit ribosomal RNA
Source: RNAcentral
GCAAGUCGAACGAUGAAGCCCAGCUUGCUGGGUGGAUUAGUGGCGCACGGGUGAGUAAUAUAUAGAUAACGUGCCUCUUAGUCUGGGAUAGCCAUUGGAAACGAUGAUUAAUACUAGAUACUCCUUCUCAUUCUAAUAUGAGUCGGGAAAGUUUUUCGCUAAGAGAUCGGUCUAUACCCCAUCAGCUUGUUGGUAAGGUAACGGCUUACCAAGGCAAUGACGGGUAGCGGGUUUGAGAGGAUGAUC